CUUAAUUAUAACCAGGAGACACUUAGGGGCUGAGCAGUGAAAAGGAAAGAUGCUCCCCGUCUUGGGCUGUGGAAUGUUCAUUUAUAGAAGGAACCCAUGUCUAGUUGGUUUGGUCUGGUUUCUCAUUCCAUCACCCCAUAAGGCAGCCUUCCAAGGUUUUCUGGACUCUGGAAGAAAAUAAAAACGAGAGUAUUCUUGGCGAAAAGAUCCCCAAUCAAGGCAGAUUCAAGGAUUUCAAUAUGUGGGUAGACUGGGCUUUCUGUUAAUAGGCAACUACUAAAAAUAGAAAUAAUUUGGAAUUUCUUUGAAGGGAGGCCAUUUCUACCAGCCCUCAUUUGAACAAAUCUGUCAAGUGAGGCAGGGUAUAUAAUAAACUAUAGGCAUGCUAGCUGUCCUCAAAAAACUUAAGUAUAUUAGCAGUGCUAAGUCAUAUACACAUGAAGAGAGAUGAAAGAAGACCGUCAACUAUUAGCCGCCAAUUUGGCAUAGCCAUAUGAGCUGUAGGAAUUUAGAAGAGAAAGAGGGACAUUUUAAGUUAAGUAAUUGGGAUAGCAUUCAGGGAGGAAAGGUGAUACAACCCAGGCUUUGAAAAAUGGUUGGAACUACAAUAUGUUUCUGGGUGAGAAUUGUUUGAAUGAACAAUGGCGCUGAUUGGUGUUUUUACAAUGAUUUGGUGCAAAAUAGUUUGUUUUGAGCAAAGGGGCCUAGAAAGUUAAGUCUGGACAUAAGUUCCCAUGUAUGCAUGGGCCUUCAACACCAGCUAGGGAACUGGCCUGGGUCUGCAGAGCACCAGAGAAAUAUGAGUGUUUUUAGUGGAAUUAGAAUGGCUUUCGAGGUCUGUUCCCUUCAUCUGAUGAAAAUAAAAGGCAAAACAAUAUUCUCAACAGGUAAGAGCAACAGGUAAGACUGCCAUUUGAUUCUUCUUCGGUUUUGACAUCUGUGCUAUGGGAAAGAAGCAUGAAUAACACAGUGUCUGGCACAUGGAAGGACAACAAAUAUUGCUGGAUGUUUAGAACCAAAGUACAGUCAUUUCCUAAUGCAGAUGAAGGAGAUCUGAAGUUACCUCAGUCUCUCAAGGGUCAGCAAUGAGUAAUUUGAAGAGGACCAGGUUAGGAGUUAUGUGAACUUGUGCAUUUAACUUCACCUUCUUGGGUUUAUGUUGCCUCACCUGAAAUAAUGGGGUUAAGUUUUAUCAGUGGGCUCUAAUUGGAAGAAGUUUUUUUGUUUGUUUUAGAGAGAGAUGCCAUACAUUGUUUUGUCAGAUACUCAGAGGGGUUUUUGAUCGAACCUGUGAAUUACAUUCCUUUUUAGUUAUAAGAGGUGUGAUUCUGAGACCCAAGGAUGAUUUUCCUGCCUGGAAAGACAAGUGGGACUCCUGCCACCACUGCCCUGCCAAUCCCAUCACCUGUAGAGGCAUACCUCAGAGCUACUGCAUGUUUGGUUCAAGACCACCACAAUAAAGCAAAUAUUGCAACAGGUCAACUAAUAGUGUAACCAGAAUUUCUUCAAUGAAUGGAACCAAUAAAGAAAGAAAAAGAAGACAUUCUGUUUUUCUCAGUUCCCCUGACAGACACUGUCAGGUAAGUACACUGCAUCAGUCUGAAAGGCUGAAACAGUGGCCAACUCCUGAAGUGACCUUCCAGGCAGAUCUACAUAUACCCCCUGAUAUUUGGAGGACAAGGAGCUCAUUGCUCACCUUGGCAGCUUCACGGUACAGCAGGAACAUAGGCUGCCAUCCCCACAUCCACCUGCUGUCGGGCUGGGGGAUGGAAGAUGGUAACUUCUCUGUAAAAUGUAAAAUCCACCAAAUUUUUCAGCCUCUUACAUUAUUAAGACUCCAGAUUUCCCAAAGAGCUGGUUCCAACUAUUAGUGCCUUUCCAAUAGUAUUUUUUUCCCAGGGUUAGGACUGGUUCCUGGAGUUUCCUAGUCCAUCAUCUUCCAAGACACCACUCUGUUGUCUUUUAAAAUUACCAUUACUGUUGCUCUUUGUUGUUGUUGGUUUUUUUUUGGUUGUUUGUUUGUUUGUUUUUGUGUGUGUAAAUUAACAUCACUGUCUGAUACCAAUUCUUUUCAGCCUAAAGAACUUCCUUUAGAAUUUCUUAUUAUUAAGUGAUAGGCAGGUCUACUAUCAACACAUUCUCUCAGCUUU
Long non-coding RNA from Pipistrellus kuhlii (Kuhl's pipistrelle), 2150 nucleotides. RefSeq lists it as uncharacterized. The record is from RefSeq and is a predicted model, not a curated record. Lineage: Eukaryota; Metazoa; Chordata; Mammalia; Chiroptera; Vespertilionidae. The transcript has 3 exons.